This 670-nucleotide ribosomal RNA is filed under the name uncultured Enterobacterales bacterium. RNAcentral describes it as "bacterial SSU rRNA". It matches the Rfam family "Bacterial small subunit ribosomal RNA", at positions 65 to 725 of the family's 1533-position model. The record is from RNAcentral. Lineage: Bacteria; Pseudomonadati; Pseudomonadota; Gammaproteobacteria; Enterobacterales.
AACGGUAGCACAGAGAGCUUGCUCUCGGGUGACGAGUGGCGGACGGGUGAGUAAUGUCUGGGAAACUGCCUGAUGGAGGGGGAUAACUACUGGAAACGGUAGCUAAUACCGCAUAACGUCGCAAGACCAAAGAGGGGGACCUUCGGGCCUCUUGCCAUCAGAUGUGCCCAGAUGGGAUUAGCUAGUAGGUGGGGUAACGGCUCACCUAGGCGACGAUCCCUAGCUGGUCUGAGAGGAUGACCAGCCACACUGGAACUGAGACACGGUCCAGACUCCUACGGGAGGCAGCAGUGGGGAAUAUUGCACAAUGGGCGCAAGCCUGAUGCAGCCAUGCCGCGUGUAUGAAGAAGGCCUUCGGGUUGUAAAGUACUUUCAGCGGGGAGGAAGGUGUUGCGGUUAAUAACCGCAGCAAUUGACGUUACCCGCAGAAGAAGCACCGGCUAACUCCGUGCCAGCAGCCGCGGUAAUACGGAGGGUGCAAGCGUUAAUCGGAAUUACUGGGCGUAAAGCGCACGCAGGCGGUCUGUCAAGUCGGAUGUGAAAUCCCCGGGCUCAACCUGGGAACUGCAUUCGAAACUGGCAGGCUAGAGUCUUGUAGAGGGGGGUAGAAUUCNCAGGUGUAGCGGUGAAAUGCGUAGAGAUCUGGAGGAAUACCGGUGGCGAAGGCGGC